GCUGGGCGUGCUUGUGCAUGCCUGUAAUCCCAGCUACUCAGAGGCUGAGGCAGGAGGAGCACAUAUUCAAGGCUGGCCUCAGCAAUUUAGUGAGGCUGUAAGCAACUUAGCUAGACCCAGUCUCAA
RNAcentral lists this small RNA (126 nucleotides) under Marmota monax (woodchuck). Lineage: Eukaryota; Metazoa; Chordata; Mammalia; Rodentia; Sciuridae. The record is from RNAcentral.